GAUGAACGCUGGCGGCGUGCCUAAUACAUGCAAGUCGAGCGAACAGAUGAGGAGCUUGCUCCUCUGACGUUAGCGGCGGACGGGUGAGUAACACGUGGAUAACCUACCUAUAAGACUGGGAUAACUUCGGGAAUCCGGAGCUAAUACCGGAUAAUAUAUUGAACCGCAUGGUUCAAUAGUGAAAGACGGUUUUGCUGUCACUUAUAGAUGGAUCCGCGCCGCAUUAGCUAGUUGGUAAGGUAACGGCUUACCAAGGCAACGAUGCGUAGCCGACCUGAGAGGGUGAUCGGCCACACUGGAACUGAGACACGGUCCAGACUCCUACGGGAGGCAGCAGUAGGGAAUCUUCCGCAAUGGGCGAAAGCCUGACGGAGCAACGCCGCGUGAGUGAUGAAGGUCUUCGGAUCGUAAAACUCUGUUAUUAGGGAAGAACAAAUGUGUAAGUAACUAUGAACGUCUUGACGGUACCUAAUCAGAAAGCCACGGCUAACUACGUG
RNAcentral lists this ribosomal RNA (497 nucleotides) under uncultured bacterium. Its description in RNAcentral is "partial 16S ribosomal RNA". It matches the Rfam family "Bacterial small subunit ribosomal RNA", at positions 28 to 507 of the family's 1533-position model. The record is from RNAcentral.